Molecule: microRNA precursor, 155 nt
Filed under: Picea abies (Norway spruce)
Lineage: Eukaryota; Viridiplantae; Streptophyta; Pinopsida; Pinales; Pinaceae
Description: miR11433 stem-loop (pab-MIR11433)
Source: miRBase by way of RNAcentral
UGCCCAAAUCCUUCUCUCGUAACAUCUCAUUGGAGAUGCUUGACUCCUAAAUUUUCAAGUGAUUACAUUUAAUAUGGAAAGUUCUCAUAAAUGUAACUUAAAAAUUUGGGAGUCGAGCAUCUCCAAUGGGCUGUUACAGGAAAAGGAUUUAGGCA